GGCUCUCUGCCGGUGUCGUCAAUGCUCGCAACCACUCAAGUUCGCGGCUGUUAACCAGACUUGCUCUUGCGGAAAUAACUUGAACGAACAGGUGGAGCUCGGAAGACACCAGGUCUGGGACUACUACGCGGAGCUCCUCUUAGAGAGCCGUGAUUGUGACCCUUCUUUGCCUUCAACGAAGCUAUUUGAAGGCCCAUUCUUUAACCCUCUCUGGCCUUUCCAACUAAAAUCGCCAAUUUUGGUGUCUCAAACCAACUGCUAAUCAAUCCCUGACAGUAGGAAGCCACAUCGGGCAUGCUCAGAAUAUCUCCAAAUAUCCUCUUCUCCCGCUUAGAAUGAAGAUAAUUUUUAAGGUUUCCAGAGACCCGUUCUUACAAAUCAAGCAGUGAGAACAGAAGUCAUGAAGGACCCAGAACUUGUCAAGUCACUCUUCUUGAGAAUGGAUGAGAAACUGGGCAAAGACAAU
This 466-nucleotide long non-coding RNA is filed under the name Cricetulus griseus (Chinese hamster). RNAcentral describes it as "lncRNA (ENSCGRG00015035331.1)". Lineage: Eukaryota; Metazoa; Chordata; Mammalia; Rodentia; Cricetidae. The record is from RNAcentral.